Molecule: ribosomal RNA, 495 nt
Filed under: Triticum aestivum (bread wheat)
Lineage: Eukaryota; Viridiplantae; Streptophyta; Magnoliopsida; Poales; Poaceae
Description: partial small subunit ribosomal RNA
Source: RNAcentral
AUGGAGGCACGCCCAUUCCCAGUCCUUGUCUCGCCCCUCCUCCGCCAUCGACUCGUGGCAUUUCUGUGCCAAGCGAGGCCGGCAGUUCAUGAAGGGGUGGGGCGCCAACUUGGUCGCGACCUCCGCGAGCGGAAGAAGGCCCUUCUGUCUGCUAUUCAGGCCCUCGACCUGCGCGCCGACACCUCCGGCCUUUCUCCUAAGGAGUGGCUUUCCCGGUACGACCUGGAAGACCAACUCCCGGUCAUCUACUCCGACGAGGAGGCAUACUGGCGGGUGCGCGGGGCUCAGAAAUGGGUUCUGAAAGGUGAGGCCAACACGGCGUACUUUCAGGCCAUCACGAAUGGUCGGCGCAGGCGCAACACCAUCCCCCUUCUCUGGGAUGGGCCGACUCUAUUCCAGUCCCCGCGGGACAUUAGGUCCCACGUUGAUGGCUUAUAUAGGUCUCUGUUCGCCGCCGCUCCUCGGAGCGGCUUAUCCCUGGCCCUGGACUGUUGG